AGCAGCCGCGGUAAUUCCAGCUGCAAUAGCGUAUAUUAAAGUUGCUGCAGUUAAAAAGCUCGUAGUUGAAUUGCGGGACUAAUAUGUUGGUCGGUGCCUCGGUACGUACUGAUAUUUUUGGUUUCUCCCUUCGUGACGAACCUGUGAUGUCAUUAAUUUGGUGUCUUGGGAAAUCAGGACUGUUACUUUGAAAAAAUUAGAGUGUUUAAAGCAGGCUCGCGCUUGAAUGCAUUAGCAUGGAAUAAUGAAAUAGGACGUUUGAUUCUAUUUUGUUGGUUUCUGGGAUCGACGUAAUGAUUAAUAGGGAUAGUUGGGGGCAUUGGUAUUCAAUUGUCAGAGGUGAAAUUCUUGGAUUUAUUGAAGACUAACGACUGCGAAAGCAUUUGCCAAGGAUGUUUUCAUUAGUCAAGAACGAAAGUUAGGGGAUCGAAGACGAUCAGAUACCGUCGUAGUCUUAAGCAUAAACUAUGCCGACUAGGGAUGGGAUGAUGUUAGUUUUUGAAUGACUCA
RNAcentral lists this ribosomal RNA (510 nucleotides) under uncultured Glomus. Its description in RNAcentral is "SSU rRNA". It matches the Rfam family "Eukaryotic small subunit ribosomal RNA", at positions 569 to 1078 of the family's 1831-position model. Lineage: Eukaryota; Fungi; Glomeromycota; Glomeromycetes; Glomerales; Glomeraceae. The record is from RNAcentral.